UUGAGAACCAAACAAAUACAUCCAUAGUUUACAACACUUUCAGCAGGAUUACAUUUUGGAAGCAGGAGACAGAAGAAGCAACUGAAGACAGCUAGUUAGGAAAAGAAAGCUUGGACAAAAGAAGGCAGAUGGCAGCAGCAAAUUGGGGUGGUAGGGACUGAGGUCAGCUCACCAGAUUGAUGGACCAUAGAAAAUAAUCAUAGAAGGCAACACAACACAUAAUAGCCUGGAGACCAUUAAGGAGUACAAAAGAGGAGGGGACAAGAGCAGAGGGGGGAUUCAUAAUUCAAAAAAAGAGAAGGGUAUUGAAGGAGAGAGCAGGCCUCUCGAAAGUCCUGCCUGAGAGUUACUUUGGUUUAUGUGUUCAUGUAUUUUGUUCAUGAGUGAUAGUGAGAAUUUCCAGAAAUGGUAUCAUUGUUGCAUUGAAUUCAUGUUGUCAUUUACAAAGUUUAUCUACAAGAAGUACAUUUCUAGAA
Long non-coding RNA from Mangifera indica (mango), 476 nucleotides. RefSeq lists it as uncharacterized. The record is from RefSeq and is a predicted model, not a curated record. NCBI's taxonomy places the organism in Eukaryota, Viridiplantae, Streptophyta, Magnoliopsida, Sapindales, Anacardiaceae. The transcript has 2 exons.